CUGCUUGCCUUAUGAAGAACACCACAAUAAGACUAGCUAUAUACUUCAAUUUCUUUGCUAAUGGCUCUUUCAUGUAGCUUAGUGCCCAAAACCAUGCCAAUAUUUCCCAGCUUCAAGCCAUGUCUGCUCAAGACAGUAAUAGCCAUGAGAUGCAUAAAUACAACAAGGAGGCCACCACCAAGGCCACCCGUAAAUACUAAACCACCACAAAACAAUGAUUACAAAGACAAGAAAGAGACUACGAUGACAGAGGAGAAGAGUAACACAAAGCUCCAAGAAGAUAAUUCAAAGAUCAAAACAAAUUAACUAGGAAUCUUGUUUGUUAAAGAUCAUAAUAAGUCAUUUGUACUUAGUCUAAAGUUAGUCAAGUACAAAAUGCUUUUAUGAUUAGUGAAACUAGUAGCAGGAAAGUGGUCCUUUUUCCUCCCAAUAUAUAAAAGUAGUAUGAUAUUUUAUUUUGUAGUAGAUGCUUGUGUGGUAAAAUUCACAAAUAGCCAUUUUUCAGCUCUUGUUGAAAAAUAAUCAAUGUCAUGAAGUUUCAAAUUUCACAAAUAAAACUUCAGGACCCUUGCAUGGAGUUUCACCAGUAAAAAUUGAAAUUCCAUGGCAAUGAUUAUUUUUCAAAAACAUAACCGUGAAGGGCAAGUGAGGUGCUAUUUCUACGGUGUGCUUGUAUUGUGCUUCUAUUUCCAAUUUUUCUUUGGUUAUCAUGUUAGGGGUCUAUUUGUUCGUGUACAAAUUAUGUGGGGAUUGUAAUAUAAUGAUUGUAAUGUGCUAUUUCUACGGUGUGCUUGUAUUGUCCUUCUAUUUCCUAUUUUUCUUUGGUUAUCAUGUUAGGGGUCUAUUUGUUCGUGUACAAAUUAUGUGGGGAUUGUAAUAUAAUGAUUGUAAUAUGCUAUUGUUAUCA
Long non-coding RNA from Lycium ferocissimum, 907 nucleotides. RefSeq lists it as uncharacterized. The record is from RefSeq and is a predicted model, not a curated record. The transcript is spliced from 3 exons. NCBI's taxonomy places the organism in Eukaryota, Viridiplantae, Streptophyta, Magnoliopsida, Solanales, Solanaceae.